This 434-nucleotide ribosomal RNA is filed under the name uncultured bacterium. RNAcentral describes it as "bacterial SSU rRNA". It matches the Rfam family "Bacterial small subunit ribosomal RNA", at positions 370 to 793 of the family's 1533-position model. The record is from RNAcentral.
AAUGGGGAAACCCUGAUGCAGCCAUGCCGCGUGUGUGAAGAAGGCCUUCGGGUUGUAAAGCACUUUCAGUAGGGAGGAAGGUAGUGUAGUUAACACCUGCAUUAUUUGACGUUACCUACAGAAGAAGCACCGGCUAACUCCGUGCCAGCAGCCGCGGUAAUACGGAGGGUGCGAGCGUUAAUCGGAAUUACUGGGCGUAAAAGCGCAUGCAGGCGGCCUGUUAAGUCAGAUGUGAAAAGCCCGGGCUUAAACCUCCGGAAAUUGCAUUUGAAAACUGGCAGGCUAGAGUCUUGUAGAGGGGGUAGAAUUUCAGGUGUAGCGGUGAAAAUGCGUAGAGAUCUGAAGGAAUACCAGUGGCGAAGGCGGCCCCUGGACAAAGACUGACGCUCAGAUGCGAAAGCGUGGGGAGCAAACAGGAUUAGAUACCCUUGUAG